CAAAAGGCUCUUUUAGGAGCCACCCCAAUGUUUUAAAAAGAACAUG
Molecule: non-coding RNA, 46 nt
Organism: Pteropus alecto (black flying fox)
Lineage: Eukaryota; Metazoa; Chordata; Mammalia; Chiroptera; Pteropodidae
Source: Rfam